UAUCAAUGACAUUUGAUUGAAAAGUAAAAUUUGUUGUCUGUUUUCUUUAAGUUAGUAUAGUACGCUAGAAAUUUUGUGCAUGUACUUGAUCUUCUAGCUUAUGCUCGAUGAAUGGGGGAUUGCAGAACGAAGGGCUCCAAAGAGUCCAGCCUAUUUCUAUAGAGAGGGGAUUAUGGUCCUCGCUUGAAGGGAUAAGGUUGAAUACGGAUCAUGUCCGCUAAAAAUUUUGGUUGUCCUCCUUGUGUUAAAAUCCAGGUCGUUCUGGUAUGACGUACAUUCAGCGUUACAUAGCAAAGAAAUGGAGAGAUAGCCACAAGGGAAAUGGGUGAAUCCUGUCAUUUCUACAGGACACACCGUUUUUCCAUCUCGGAGUUCGAGGACUCCUGGUUAGUGGGCUUGGAUGAACUCCAUUAGGUUUCCUUAAAUUUCCUACUUUGACAUGAUUUAUGUCUAAUUCCUAAAGAUUGGAAUGAUCUAGAGAUGUUGCUUCUCCAGGAUAGUGUGCAUGAACAAGCAUCCAUGGAAUGUAAUUUACAGAAGGAAGCAAAUUUUACUAUACUUGAAUAAAUAAAUUAUGAAACUGUU
Molecule: long non-coding RNA, 585 nt
Organism: Lycium ferocissimum
Lineage: Eukaryota; Viridiplantae; Streptophyta; Magnoliopsida; Solanales; Solanaceae
Exons: 2
Source: RefSeq, a predicted model, not a curated record